AAAACCAAAAAUAAACAGACAUUCUUACCUGAUGAGGAGUUUUUGGAAACAAGGGUUCAGUGGGCUUGGUGAAUUUCCCCGGAGAGCCCUGCCCUCCCCUCUCCCCUUUGGUCAUGGUCGAGAGAUUGUGUGUGAGGCGACAGCUGAACCUCUGCUGCUGUGUGUGCGACGGAGUGAUGAAGUGAUGAGUGUGACUCCUGGUGUGAUCCAGAGUGGCCUGCCACUGGGAGGUGCGUGUCAGGGGCUGGAAAUGGAUGUGGCUGUGGCUGCGCACAUAUGAGUGAGCGAUGACUCUGGAGGCUGGGAGCUCCUCCUGCCCCUCUCUGACAACUCUGCCGCUUUCCAUCGCCAUCCGCUCUCUGUUGUGUUCUGGAACGAAGCCAGCAGGGGAGGGCGAGGAAAAGGAGAUACAUGAAAAGGCUCACCUGCUCUAAAAGACGCACAGCUGCCUGACCUUGUCUUCGGACUCCUGCUGGAUUCUGCCAGUUUACUGAACCUGGAACUGAUUCCUGACACCGUUCUGGAUUUCCUUCUGGUAACUCUUCAGAUAUCUGAUCUUCUGGCCCGGACUCCUGUGAACCUCCUCGAUGUCGGCUUUGACUUCACCCUCUGGAUUACCCGACCUUCCUUUGUCUGCAUGGAUCUGAGCUCCUGCCUGUUCCCCGGCCUCUGGGGCUUCAAUGUCUGGGACUCUCUGGGCAGAGUUUGCCACGUCUUAUCGGCAGCCAACUGGCUGGAAUCUACCUGGUCCUCUGGGUGCAGACUGAACAUUAAGACAAGAGGUUCCUGCCUUAGAUGCCCUAGCUGUUCACUGCAGAUCAGACGAUUUUUAAUAAACCUUUUUUUUUUAAUCCUA
Cyprinodon tularosa is the source of this 856-nucleotide long non-coding RNA. RefSeq lists it as uncharacterized. The transcript has 3 exons. Lineage: Eukaryota; Metazoa; Chordata; Actinopteri; Cyprinodontiformes; Cyprinodontidae. The record is from RefSeq and is a predicted model, not a curated record.